CCUACGGGCGGCAGCAGUAAGGAAUAUUGGUCAAUGGACGAAAGUCUGAACCAGCCAUGCCGCGUGGAGGAUGAAGGUCCUCUGGAUUGUAAACUUCUUUUAUAUGGGACGAAAAAAGGCCUUUCUAGGCCGUCUGACGGUACCAUAUUAAUAAGCACCGGCUAACUCCGUGCCAGCAGCCGCGGUAAUACGGAGGGUGCAAGCGUUAUCCUGAUUCACUGGGGUUAAGGGGUGUUGAGGUGUGUGUAUAGAAAUCUCCGAGCUUAACUUGGAAACUGCCAUUGAUACUAUUAAUAUUGAAUAUUGUGGAGGUUAGCGGAAUAUGUCAUGUAGCGGUGAAAUGCUUAGAUAUGACAUAGAACACCAAUUGCGAAGGCAGCUGGCUACACAUAUAUUGACACUGAGGCACGAAAGCGUGGGGAUCAAACAGGAUUAGAUACCCCAGUAGUC
This 450-nucleotide ribosomal RNA is filed under the name uncultured bacterium. RNAcentral describes it as "partial 16S ribosomal RNA". It matches the Rfam family "Bacterial small subunit ribosomal RNA", at positions 338 to 795 of the family's 1533-position model. The record is from RNAcentral.